GAAAUCAAUUCAACAACAACUGCCCCGGUGCUUCCCCGUAGAUGGCACUGCUGGUCAGUUCGGGAGGGGAUGGGACAUUGAGGAGCGGGACAGUCUUCAGGAAGCUUACAGUCUGCUUUGGGUUGUUUCAGGAACACAGUCAUCCCUAAGAAAUGGAUUGGGUGACAAGUGGUCUGCAUGCUGCACAUGGGCACUGGGUCUCUGAAUGUAACCAAAUUGUUCUCCUCUUAUCAUUCCCAUUCACUGGUGUACUUGUUUGUGGAGCCUGCAGAACUGCCUUUUCCAAGAAUGGCAGCUUGGCCUCUAAAUCUGCUUCCCACUGAUGGGAAGAGCUGACAGAAGCUUUAGAGAGGCACAGGGUGAGUUCCUAAAACCAGAGUCAACACACACUCUUCAUCUGUUUUGUGCUUCACUCCCUGCUCAUCUUUCUAAAACACUGAGUUUGGUCAUAUCAUGUCCUACAAGUUGUCAAUGAUUUCCCAUGAUCUUGUCUUCAGGAUAAAGUUCCUUAGUCAAAAGCAAUGAAGACCUGACCUAAUCUGUAAGGCAAAAUCAACACUUUUUAGCCUGGCCUUCCAUGCCCUUCCAUGCCCUUCGAGCCCCCAGAGCACCCAUGGCAGUCCAUCUCUCUCUACUUGUCCAGAUGGACACUCUCUUAGAGCCAGUGGCUCCUAGUCAUUGUUCCCUGAACACGUCGUGGGAAUGUUUGCCUUCAUACCUUCCCAGAUCAUUUUCCUGAUCUCAGACACCCUCCGUCCUCAUUCAUUCACUCUUCAAUUGUCCAACAAAUAUUUGUUGCUCAUGCAACCUGGAUCACCCACAUAGUUUCAAGACGGCAUCUUCUAAACUAUUUAAAUCCUAUCCAUUCUUCAAGAAAUGUUUCAUGACGCUUCCUUAACUGCUAAGGACCCGCAGAUUCUCUUCCUCUUGGGACUCACACACUGACUCAUCUCCCGCUCUUUUGGUGCUCAGCAAAGUGGAGGCCUCUAUUUUGGACUUAGAGUCAAGACCAUUAAAUAAGACUAUGCUCUAAAAAGUACACCUCCGUGGCCCGGAACGAGUGAAUUAACAUCUAUGAGUUUCCAUUUCCUUGUCUAUAAAAUUGUGAAAUUGCAACUUAAGAUUAGUUCUGAAGAUUGAAUGAGGUAACAUAGGUGAAAAUGCCACAUUUAUGUAACAAAUUACUCUUUCAUAAGGAUGUCAAUGUUUAAAUACGCAUUUUCUCAAUUUUGUUAAUGAAAUACUU
Molecule: non-coding RNA, 1246 nt
Filed under: Pan troglodytes (chimpanzee)
Lineage: Eukaryota; Metazoa; Chordata; Mammalia; Primates; Hominidae
Source: RNAcentral